Molecule: non-coding RNA, 8363 nt
Organism: Zootermopsis nevadensis
Lineage: Eukaryota; Metazoa; Arthropoda; Insecta; Blattodea; Termopsidae
Source: RefSeq, a predicted model, not a curated record
UUGUGUAUGCGUCGUUUGUUUAUGGUGAAGAAAAAAAUUUCGUUGUAGGCGCAUGUAUUAUAAGUUUUAAAGUUAGAAGAUUCCACGGAAAGUGUAACUGAGUGUUCGUUAUUCUUAAUACAACUGUUAGCAUUUAAAAGUAUAAAUAUAUAUGUCUAUCCUGAAUCUGCGGUCUUGUAACAAACUGGGUUCAGGCGGAAACAAAUAAUGCGUUAUGUUAAACACUGUUGAGGUGCUGUUUCUGGUGCUCCAUUGGCCAGUUACCAGGCAACUGAUUGGUGGAGCUUUGGUGUUUUGAAACAGGAGAUAUUGUUGAGAUCUACGCGUUUUGAAGCAGAAGGAGAAAACAACCAGCAGGUGAUAUUUGAGUGAUUCUCGGCAUCUGGAAACAGAUAGGAUAUUCAUGUUCCCUGGUGAACAGAAUGUGAAUUGAAUGGUGCAAGAAUCAAGUGACGCAUUGGCUUCUACACUUAAACGUGAACCUCAUGCUGCAUCAUUCAAAUACCAGGUGAGAUAUCUUAUUUAAUUUUAGAAGCAACAUACUUACAUCAACCGUUAACCAAUAUUUCUACAAUUUCAUGUGUGUCCAGACAAUGGAACUCCGUUUCGAUGUUGGUAUUCUAGAUUGUGACGCCAUGCAAAUGUGCAAGUAGAUGCUUACAUUUAAGAGAAACUACUGCCUACAUCAUCAGCCCUGAUUUAUGGAGGGAGUAAACGCUUCUUAGAAGCUUGUGUCUCCCUACAAGUUCGCACAACAUUUUCUCCAAAAAAGACCGGCAUCAACAUCUUCAAAAUGCUGUGAGAACAUCAAAUUUCACAUAGUUGAACUCUGUUCCUCUAAUUUCUGUACAUGAUUUCAAACUAAAACACCUUGUAGUCUUGCAUAAAAGUGUACUGCAGUCUGUAAUCUCACGUUCAGAAAUAUGUAAACAUCAUUCCAGUCUCUUCCUCACUGUGUCAGAUGUCCUUCCAAGGACAUCUUGUCUGGUUCAGAGGCCUCUCGUUUUAUUCUCUUAAAACCGUCAGUUCUUAAUAUUUUUCAUUCUCUGUUAGUUUCAACUGCCUGUAUAACUACUUACAGAUAUGCUGAGAAACGCAGUUGCAAUACUUAUGGUUUCGGCAGUCUCAGAUCACAUUUUUGUUCUCUUAGUAUUAAUUGGUGAAUAUAGUGACUUAAAACACAACUUUCAUGCUGUCAUGUGCUGUAAUAACAGAGAAGAGUGGGCUUUUUAUUUCUCAGUGCUCUGAGUUUUUACUUUGUGUUAUGUCUGCUUAAUUUGUUGCUUUGCCCCAUUCAGUGUUAUGGCUUAUUUUCAACAAUAUCAAUGACUCGGAUUAUAUGGCGUCCUGUGAUCAGCCGAUCAGUGAAUGAUGCACUGUAAAUGGUGUGCAAGGAAGAACAUUUUGCAUCACUUAAGGUAAUAUUCAAUAUUUUCAUUGACUAGCUGAGGAAAACCUGAAUGAGUAUAGCUGUUGUGUGGACUGAGGUAUCUGAUGUGAGUACCUCCACUGAUGAAUGCAUUAACUCCCCCAUAAAGGUAAUCACUAAGCAGGUUUACUUUGUCAUUUUGGCACUCAAUGUUUUCUUCAGUAUAUCUCAGCCUUUGCUCUGGAAAUUUUAUUUAUAGAAUUGGUUUCUGUAAACAGAAUUUCUUGUUUCAGGUUACAUAAUUAAGUUAAAGUUUUGGGAAUUAAGGUACAGUCUGACAUAAAUUUAGCUUAUUUACUCAAAUAAUGAGGAAUCUAUUACUUUCCACUGUAAAGACUUACGUUGAGAUAUUUUGUCCACACUGAAUUUCUUAACGCAAGUUUGAGUAUUCUCAUUUAUAAAACUGCAUGAAGUAUCUGGUGCUGUCUUCCAUCACUAGUGCCAUAAGUUGUCCAGGUAUUAGCGACCGUCUCAUACACUUCUGGCUUAAUUUAUACAAAAUUGAUAUGUGUAUGUUGCCCUAACAAAGAAUAUGAUUUUGAAUUUGUCACUAGUAGUCUCUGCAUGUACUGAUAGUGACAAGGAGUGGAAAAUCCAGUAGGAAUGACAGCACCGCAAGUUGACAGGAAGACAGGGCAACAUGAAAGAGGAGACAUGUCAUCAGUUCAGAAGACUGCAGAGGGCCAGUGAAUUAAGACCAAAGUUCAGUUUUCUGAAUGGAUGAAGACAUCAGAGUGGUGAAGAAGAAUCAUCUUCAACGCCUCUCCUGAAAGUGCGUGCAGGAACUCACAGCCAGUCCAUGGAUUCUCCAUCGCAGUAACGUAUAACUAAACUUUACAGUGUGUAACUUUGGCUUAAGGAAUAAGCAGUGUAGAAUGUUGAACGUUUUCCAAAGUUUUGGCAAACGCUUGUGCUGCUAUCAUCAGGGUGAAUGUCUUUUUGAAAAUUCGUAAGCUUCUUCUUGACUUGGCAUUGGGGACAUGAUUAUAAUACCUGAGGAGCAAUGAACUAUUCAUUGUGGCCAGGUGCACUGCUAGCUUCCCAUCGUUUAUCUGUUGAUCUGUGCUAAUUGUUAUGCACAUCUGUUUGGUAAUUUCCCACUAUUUUCAUGAUUAUAGAAUUUCUGAUUUCUAGGUUCAACUGUUUCUUUUAACUUCUUUCAUUUCAGCAUUACUUACUGUGGGAAUUAUAGUCAGUGCUGUAUGGGCUGUAGAAAUGGACAUUCUUUUCGGUGGAUUUCUCUUUUUUAAUAGUAAAGUUUGCACUUGUUUCUCUAAUCCUGAUCCGAGAAUGAAAUGGAAAUUCGUUCUGAUACUGCUCAGCUUCAUGAAAAAAUUUAUAGUGGUACUGGGCUGAGAGCUUGGAAUACUUUUCCAUCAAAGUGCCACAUAAUCUGUGAAAUAUAACUCAUCUCAAUUUAAUUAUUUCAAAAAUUACAAACCAUGGCAAUGCAAUUUGUCUUUCACAGUAUUAACUCUGUUCAUAUCUGUGCAGGAACUACAGUAACAUAUUACUCAGCUUGGCCUACAAAUCCAUGCACUGACUUCCCUUAUGCAGUGCACUCUUGUACCCAUAUACCAGCUUCAGUGUCCUGUGCAUAAAUUUUGUAACCAUUCCUCUGUCAGUACCAUUCUUCUGUCCGGUUCAUAUCUCAAUAUUUACAACUGAUCUCCCUAAAUUUACCUCUAAUCACAAGUCGUGGCCUAUUGUACCACUAAUUUGCUACUGAACAUCUCAGGAUUGAAGGGCUGAAAAUUCCAUUGGGUCACAGGUUUAUCCUUUGGUAAGAGUAUGAUGCAUUUCCUACAAUUUGCCAUCACUUUCUGGUCCUUUGUCAUCUUAAAUAGCACAGCUGUAUUACAGUUUGCUUGCUUCAUAAAAACUAGUUAUAUCCACCUCAAAAGACCUAGGGACUCGACCCACGGUCAGGGGGAGGUCAGUGCAAACGAGUCUUAGGGAUCAGGUGUUUAUGAAGGGAAGUGAUAAAAAUGUUCUAGCAGCCACUUGUUAGAAUAAUAGGUAUAUAACCAGUGUUUACUGAAACCUUUAACAUUGUACGCUGCUUGUUCUCCAAAGGAGUUAUUCUUUAAGCUCAGACAAAAUUUAGGCUUGGAGAUGGAUCAUCACAAAGUAAUGCGGAGUAAACCAUAGUUUGAUGAUGAGUGCUCAAAAUAGUAGAGAAAUGGGAGCAGGCUAAAUUACAGUGGUUGCAAAACCCAAGACAAAUCAGUGGAGACAAGCAGCAAAAUCUAAGAUGUGAAAACAGUAGAACAUUUAGGGAGAAAAAAAGGAGUUACCUAAGACAAAACAUGAACUUGAAUCUAAUGAUAGAAAUGGAAGUAUUAGAGAUGUAUAGUGAUUCAUAAAUGAAUUUAGAAAGGUUACCAACCUAGCGUUAAUGUUAUGGUAAAGUUCAUGCUGCCACCAUUGGUAAGGUCUUUUAGUUGCAGUGGUCCUAGGUCAUGAGUCUAGAAUUGGGUAGAGUCAAGUUUUAAAUGUGUAGGUCGUGACUAGUUUCAUCAGGGCGGUAAUAAUGGGGAAUUGGCCUUUUUCAUGGCGGAAGCGCAGCUCACUGUCUUAUGGUUACUUAAUUAGCCAUUUGUGUUCUAUACUAAUUUAUUCUGCUAAGUGCAUACACUAAAUCUUACAAAGCCAUCAUACUUAAACUAUAUGUAACAAAUAUCUCUUAACUUACAACUGAUCAGUGUUGCACCAGUUUCUCAGUUAUUUUGUUAAAACUCAUCUGUUCCAAAUUUUAAACAAUUUUACGACCAAGAGGCACAAACGGUUCUAAAUUGUUUCCUUAAAUUCCAAGCAGUCGCUUACCUGUAAUGAACAGAAGGGGGAGCCAGUUCUUCAUUGUGCUUUUCUCCUGGGAGCCUGGCUUUAAAGUGACGAUCGCUUGGGUAUCAACAUUCGGAUUAUCGUGUCUGCAGGUGCCAAAGGGAAACGAAACUGCUUACACUGCUGAUACUACAAUCUGUCCCGCACAAAUGACCAGCUGUUUCACUUUAUCUUUAUUACAAUAUUCCCGUUGUUUCAAAACAAAGCGUCCUUGCUUUGUAUCUCCUAACCAAAUUUUACUGGGGGGGGGGGGGUUUGCAAGCAAACAGACUAAUAAAGGAACAAGCACAAAACUUCUUCUGCUUCAUUUACUUACAAAGCUCAAACAAAAUUAUCUUAAUUUUUAAAUUAACAUAUCAUAUAUGUAGCAAAUUGUUCAUGCUGUGACAGUGGCAAAGCUUCAUUUUUCUUUUCCUGAAUUUCCACUUAAUUGUGAACGUACUUUCUUGACGCACUGUAUUUGACAGAAAUCUUUAUCGUGUUCAGAGCUCUCUAGGUGCAUCAUUCACAAGGGAAUGGUCCGGUUGGUCAGGUCGAAACCUCACCUCAGAUUUUCUCGUCUACAGAACCCAUCUAGUAAUGUUUGUCCACAAAAUUUCAGCUGAAAAUACGCUGUGCAAGGGUGCUAAAAAAUUGCUCAAAAUUGGAAUGUACAGUUAAAAUUUGUGCCACCACGCACACACGUGACAACAGCUCACCAAAGCAGUGGCACGGUAUUCACCAUGCAAUGAUGUGCGUGGGCCAGAUGACAUGAGGGCAGUGAAAGACUUAAGAAAUGUCACACACACACAUGUUUAUUGAAUAAGUACAUACUUGAGAACCUUUUAUCUGUAUAAUAUACAGGUGUUUUAUAUGCUGCUUUGUGGAAGCAAUGCACUGAAACUAAAGACUGAGAAAAUAACUGACAGGUUUGGUGGGGUGGAAACGUGCAAGGGAAUAGAAAUGGAGUGGGAUUUGUAGUGAGAGUAGGUCUGAUGGAGGAGGUAGAGUGGGUUAAUGAUAGGAUAAUGAAAAUGACUAUAGCAGGGAAGGAUGACAAACUCGAAUUGAUACAAGUUUAUGCCCCACAAGUAGGAUGCUCUGAAGAUGAAAAGGAGAAAUUCAGGGAAGAGUUGGAGAGGUGGAUUGGGAGAGAGGGACAAAUAGUAAUGGGGGAUCUAAAUGCACAGAUGGGAAGUGAUAGAAUGGGUCUGGAAGAUGUGCUGGCACCUGAGGGGCGGGGAGGAAGAAAUGAAGAAGGGCAAAGACUGCUGGAGAUAUGUGUAAGGAAUGGGAUGAUGAUAGGAAACAGCUGUUUAAGAAUAGAAGAGACAGUCACAAAGUAACAAGGUACAGCUGGGAUGGCAAGCAUAAGUCAGUAAUUGACUAUUUCAUUUUGGAAAAGGAAGUGAAGGAAAGAUUGACGAACAUCAAGGUUAUACCGAGUGUGGCACUGGGUAGUGACCACAUGCUCCUGGUAGCUGAAGUGAGGAGAAGAAAGUUGUGGAGGAAAGGGUGCAAGCAAGAGAGGUGGAUAAGAGUCUGGAAACUAAAAAAAGAGGAAGUAAGAGAGAAAUUCAAGGAGGGGAUUGUAAAGAUGGUACCGAAAGAGGAGGUAGAGGGGGUUGAGGAAGAAUGGAGACGGUUUAAGGAAGGAAUAGUAAAGGUGGUGGAGGAAACGUGGGAGAACAAGUGGAAGAAAGAGGUGGAAAGAAACACCAUGGUGAAAUGAAAGGGUAAAGAGUGUGGUGAUGGAGAAAAAUGGGGCAUUCAGGGAUUGGUUCAAAGAGUGCACAGAGGUAAAGAGGAAAGCAUAUGAAGAAGCAAAGAGAAAGGCAGCAAGGGUAGUAAAGGAGGAGAAGAGGAAUUGGAUGGAAAAAUGGACAAGACAGUUAGAGGAAGAUGUAAGAGGAAACAGGUCAAUAUUGUACAAGUUGAUAAGAGGGAGAAGGAGAGGACAAAGUGAAAUGACAAGGCCAGUGGAGAGAAGAGCAGCAUGGAUUCAGGGAUGGGAGAUCAACAAUAGAUCUGAUAUUUGCAGUGCACCAGCUGUAGGAGAAGAUGUAUGAGUAUGGGAAGGAACUGGUGAUGGCAUUCAUGGAUAUAGAGAAAGCAUAUGAUAGUGUAGAUAAGAAUAUUUUGUGAGAGGUCUUGGAGGAAUCAGGAGUAGACAUGGAGCUGGUGUCAGGGGUGAAGAGUCUCUACAGUGGAAGUGUAGGGUGUGUAAUGACAGAGUAUGGGCCAAGAGAGUGGUUUAAGCUGAACAGUGGAGUGAGGCAGGGAAGCGCAAUAUCUCGACUGAUAUUUGUGGUACUGAUGGAAAAGGCAGAAAGAGUCAGCGAGAAUGGAAUGAAAGCAAUGGUGUUUGCAGACGAUGUGAUGGUGUGGGGAGAGAGAGAGAAGGAAAAGUGCAGGAACAGUUGGAAGUAUGGCAAGAGGAGGUAGAGAGGUGUGGCAUGAAGUUUAACAUCAAGAAGUGCGAGGUGGUGUGUAUGUCAAGAAUGCAGAACAAAGUAUGGAAUGGGAUUGAGUUAAGGGGAGAGAAACUUAAAAUGGUGGAGAGGGUCGCAAUAGGUUGGAGCUAGUAAGGAGGGGACAGCAGUGAGAGAGUUUCUACAGAGCGGUGAAAGAUUUACUGUGGCAACGGGAAGUCCCAAUGAGGUGCAAGAGGUCGCUGUAUGAGGUGUACCUUGUACCAAUUGUUACGUAUGCAGCAGAAACUUGGACAUUGGGAAGGAAGGAGAUACAGAAGGUGGAAACAAUGGGUAUGAAGUUUUUGAGGAGUGUAUUGGGUAUAACAAGGAGAGAUAGAGUACAAAAUGAGGAAGUUAGGAAAUGAAUGGAUGUGAGGGGUCUGGUAGAGAGAGUAGAAGAAGCAAGAAUGAAGUGGUAUGGAUACGUGAAGCGAAUGGGAGAUGGGCGAAUAGCACGACAAAUGUUGAAUUUGAGAUUGACUGGCACAAGACCACGAAGAAGGUGGGAUGAGCAGAUAAAACGAGGAGUGAUGGAGAGAGGUGCCCAGUGGCAGUUGGUGGAAGAAGAGGAGUGGUGGAGGGACAGGAAGAGAUAGAUUGGCUUUACCAAGCGGAUCCGGUUCCAGGCUGGAAACAGCAAUGGAUGAUGAUGAGGUUUGGUGUUAAUAUGUACAACGGCCAAUGUUCUUGUUUCUCUUCUCGUAGGCGGGUUUCGUGGAGUUCCAACACCGUCCACAUAUCCUUGUUGCAGUGGGAUUUAGCCAUAGAUGAUAUGUAAUCUAGUUGGCUGAUGUCUUCCUUGUUUUGCCAGUUGUAGUUUUUGAAGUUCAUUCACUGUUAUCGUCUCAAACGGUUCUGGUAGGGAGGGAGAAUUCAUGGUGAAGGACUGAGGUUGCUGUGCUGCCACGUGUAGUUGCGUAUACUUGGAAACUCCCGUCCAGUAUGUAACAGGAGCUUGUAUUGUGUAAAAUUCCAUUUCCUCCAAGAAUUAACCUGUGACUCUGUCUAAUGCCAUUUGCAAAACAUUUUGCUUGAACACACUGUUCUGAGUUGUCUUCAUUUACAGGUCUGACACAUAAUCUUGGAAUUCAUCUACAGCAUAAAUGUUUAUUCUAUGAGUAUAUUAUAUGUUGUGUAUUCUGUACUGUUUACUUUGCCAGGCUGUUACUAUAUGUGUUAGGAAAUUUUAUAUUUUUUGUGCUGGUUUAUAUUUGGUUAGGGGCCUAGUCUAUUAGUAAGUGGUUGAAAUUAGUCCAUUAAGUAAGGUUCUGUUCAUUACAAAACUGUUGUACUGUCCAAUUGUUUUCAGGUUUGUAAUUUGGGUGGAAUCCAGAAACUAUGUGAUGCCUUGCAGGAGAACCCUACAUGGACAGUGACACAUUUGUCUUCGUACUUAUCACUUUCAGCAUACUGUUAUCACAAGGAAUUUAUAAGGUUAUGAAAUAAGAGAUAACAAUGUUAAUCAUUAUGAUGUUACAUGUUAAUAUCACUUAUAUUACCCCUUUAAAGCCUAGGGUAACUAUAUGUUCCAGUUCAACAAUCAGUAACUCUUCAUUUUGUAUUUAUGGUUUUCAUAUGAUUACGAUGUAAACAGGAAUUACUUACUUAAACAGAAUAUAGAAUGAGCAAACAAGCAA